AUACAUUUCUUUUAAUGGUCCUCUUUCAAAUUUUGGGACCGUAAUUAGAUACGUGUCGAUUUUUCUAUUCUUUAAAAUUGGCCCUGGUUUAAAGGUGUCAUUCCUUUGUGUAUUUAUUUUUAAUAGAAGAAUGAGUGAUUUGUUCGAUCUCUAAGGUAUUAUGGCCUUACUAUUCUAUUCUCGAGGGCUAACGGCUCAAGCAAAACUAUAAGCUUGAAAAAUUGUACAAGUUAUGAAAGAAAUGAAGAUGGAACAUUAUUAGGGCAAUAUUUCAGCCGAGCCGGCCAUUUUUAUAUGUAGCCCUCUCCCCAGGCGCGGCGCUCUAUCAGGUUAGGGUUCUUCAGGCGGCUUCAGAUUAGCAGAACCAGAAAAUGGGUUAGAAGAAAAAAUAUCAGAGGAGUUCAUGGUACAAAGAGGGUGCAGGUAGAGCACGUGUAUAUACAGAAACCCUAGUGGGGAAGAAGACAACACAGAAGCAAUAUGAUAGGUCAAAAAACCCUAAAUUUGUGCUGUAGGUGCCUGCAGCUAAGCUAAUUCCACCUUAUAGGAUGGGGGACCAAAUAUGGUGUGCCCGGGCCACCAUAAGGUUCAAAAUUUUGUGGCCGUGGGUCGAAUAGUACACUGAGAAACAUAUACUCCUCUUCUUUCCCACAAUUCAUUAAUUUUGACUGCAAAUAUGCUCUGUAGUCUGUACUAUCCGUUCGGGUCUCAAAGAGGCGAAUUCAAAAUUUAGACAUAGUUAAAAGUAUAUGCACGUUAGUUGAAGAUGCCUGUUUUAUUAAAUACCCAUUUAACUGAUGUAUACCAACAUAAAAAUGUAAAUAGAAUGGCAUAAUGGGAUGAAGCUUACUUA
This is a long non-coding RNA of Solanum pennellii, 853 nucleotides long. RefSeq lists it as uncharacterized. The transcript is spliced from 4 exons. The record is from RefSeq and is a predicted model, not a curated record. Lineage: Eukaryota; Viridiplantae; Streptophyta; Magnoliopsida; Solanales; Solanaceae.